RNAcentral lists this ribosomal RNA (254 nucleotides) under uncultured bacterium. RNAcentral's name for it is "partial 16S ribosomal RNA". It matches the Rfam family "Bacterial small subunit ribosomal RNA", at positions 524 to 775 of the family's 1533-position model. The record is from RNAcentral.
UACGGAGGGUGCAAACGUUGCUCGAAAUUAUUGGGCGUAAAGCGCACGUAGGCGGACCAUCAAGUCGGAUGUGAAAUCCCUCGGCUUAACCGGAGGACGUGCACUCGAUACUGAUGGCCUUGAGUACGAAGAGGAUCGCGGAAUUCCCGGUGUAGAGGUGAAAUUCGUAGAUAGUCGGGAGGAACAACCAGUGGCGAAGGCGGCGAUCUGGGUCGAUACUGACGCUGAGGUGCGAAAGCGUGGGGAGCAACAGG